UGCCACUUUGGAUGUAGACUCCUAAUGCCC
RNAcentral lists this non-coding RNA (30 nucleotides) under Rattus norvegicus (Norway rat). The record is from RNAcentral. Lineage: Eukaryota; Metazoa; Chordata; Mammalia; Rodentia; Muridae.